UACGUAGGUGGCAAGCGUUGUCCGGAUUUACUGGGCGUAAAGAGCGCGCAGGCGGUCGUUCAAGUCGAGUGUGAAAGCCCCCGGCUCAACUGGGGAGGGUCACUCGAUACUGAUCGACUCGAAGGCAGAAGAGGGAAGCGGAACUCCCGGUGUAGUGGUGAAAUGCGUAGAUAUCGGGAGGAACACCAGUGGCGAAGGCGGCUUUCUGGUCUGCUCUUGACGCUGAGGCGCGAAAGCUAGGGUAGCAAACGGG
Molecule: ribosomal RNA, 253 nt
Filed under: uncultured bacterium
Lineage: Bacteria
Description: partial 16S ribosomal RNA
Rfam family: Bacterial small subunit ribosomal RNA
Source: RNAcentral